Long non-coding RNA from Acinonyx jubatus (cheetah), 3885 nucleotides. RefSeq lists it as uncharacterized. NCBI's taxonomy places the organism in Eukaryota, Metazoa, Chordata, Mammalia, Carnivora, Felidae. The record is from RefSeq and is a predicted model, not a curated record. The transcript has 2 exons.
UAUUUAUUUUUAAGACGGAGACAGCAUGAGCAGGGGAGGGGCAGAGAGAGAGGGAGACACAGAAUCCAAAGUAGGCUCCAGGCUCUGAGCUGUCAGCACAGAGCCUGACACGGGGCUCGAACUCACAGAUUGUGAUAUCAUGACCUGAGCUGAAGUCAGAUGCUUAACCGACUGAGCCACCCCGGUGCCCCCUGUCUUUUUGAUAAUAGCCAUUCUCACUGUGGUUUUGAUUUGCAUUUCCCUGAUGAUCAGGGAUACUGAGCAUCGAUGCAUCUAGCUAGCUGUUGGCUAUCUGUAUGUCUUUGGAAAAAUGUCUGUUCAAAUCCUUUGCCCAUUUUUCAAUCGGGUUUGGUUUUUUGUUCUGGUAUAGGAAUUUUUACAUAUUUUGGAUUGACCCCUUAUCAGAUAUGAUUUGCAAAUACUUUCUUCCACUCAUUAGGUUGCCUUUUCAUUUUGUUGGUUUCCUUUGUGCACAAACUUUUUAUUUUAAUGUAGUCCCACUUUUCAUUUUUGCGUUUGGUGUCACAUUCAGAAAAUCACCAAGACUGAUGUCAAGGAGUUUAUUGCCUACUGGUUUCAUGUCUUCUAUUCAACUCUUUAAUCCAUUUUGAGCUAACUUUUGUGUAUGGUGUAAGAUAAGUGACCUAAUUUUCCCAACAGCAAUUAUUGAAUACACUGUCUUUUCUUGAUUAUAUAUUCUUGUCUCCUUUGUCAUAAAUUAACUGACCAUACAUUCAUUGGUUUAUUUCUAGGCUAUUCUGUGCCAUUAAUCUAGGUCUGUAUUUAUGCCAAUACUCGAUUACUAUAGCUUUGUAAUAAUAUAGUUUGAAAUUAAGGAGCAUGAGGCCUCCAGCUUUGUUCUUUCUCAAGAUUGUGUUGGCUGUUUGGAGCCUUUCGGGGUCCCAUACAAAUUUUAGGGGUGUUUUUUAAAAAUGCCAUUGGAAUUUUGAGAGAUGGCAUUGAAUCUGUAGGUUGCUUUGGGUAGUGUGAACAUUUUAACAAUAUUCGCCCAAUCCCUAAGCAUGGAGUAGCUUUCCAUUGAUUUGUCUGCAGUUUCAUUUAUGUCAGUUUUCAGUGUACAGGUCUUUCAUGUUUUUGUUUAAAAAUCCCUGGGUAUUUUGUUUUUGAUGCCGUUUUAUAAAUGGGAUUAUUUUAAUUUCUCUUUCUGGUAGUUAUUAGUGUACAGAAACGCAAGAUUCCUGUGUAUUGAUUUUGUGUUCUGCAACUUUACUGAAUUUAUUAGUUACAACAGUUUUUUGGUCUUUGGGGUUUUCUAUAUGUCAUUUUAUCUGCAAAAACUGACAAUUUGGGUGCCUUUUGCUUGCCUAAUUGCUCUGGCUAGGACUUCCAAUACUAUGUUAACAUUUAAAAUUUGACAUAAAAAGCAAAGUGGUCCAAAGAAAGAAGUUUGAAACUGAAUGUUGAACACUCUACUGAGUCCAUGGACCGAACUCCCUCCUUUUUAUGAAACCCCAUGUGGGGGAUGCAGGUUAUCAGGAACAAUUCUAAGUUACUACAGCUUUGUCACAAACCACCCUAAAAACUUAAGAGGUUCAAACAGUAAUCCUUUCUCUCUCGGAUUCUGUGGACUAGGAAUUUAGGAAAGGCUCUACUUGGCAGUUCCGACUCCAGGUAUCGGAUGUAUUUGCAUUUACAGCGGCUAGAGCUGGGCUAGCGGGAAGUUAGAACACGAGGGACUGGCCAGACGUCUCUGCUUGUAGUUUCAGGAUCUCUCUGUGUGGGCUGGUCUGGGCUUCCUCACAGAAUUGGCUUCAGGGUGACUCAAGGACUUACCAGCCUGUGUAGCUUUGCGUGUUUCAACAGACCAGCUGUAAGCUGUGUUGCCUUUGAUCUAGCUUUGGAAGUCACAGAGCAGUCCUUUUGUCGUGUCAACCAGUCACCUCUUGAUCUGGGGAAUGUCAGACUUUAUGGAUCUUUUACAACCACCACAUCUCCCCUCAGGAAGCCCAUCUGGUGUGAGAGAGGCAAGACCAGCCUAGAUACUGCCACCAGAAUACCGAAAGGUAAGCUGCCCCACGUAGAAGGCCAUGGGAGCUCACCGAGGGGAGUAAGGGAAAGCAUUUUGGAGGCGACCUUUGAGCUGGUUCUUAAGAUGGAUUUUGACAUUUUGAAUGGCAUUAGCAAGGUCCAGAAGUAAUAAAUGGUUGAACAGCGAGUGAUUACUUGACUGCAAUCAAAAGUGGCUGAAGGAGGAGUGAGCAGAGGCCAGAAAUGUGAGCCAGAUCAAGGAAUGCCCAACCUAAGCACUUCGAGAGAGGUGGGGACAUGGGCAGAAAAGUAAUGAAGGUUCCUCUCCCCUCCAGAUACAAUUACCAUGGGAGAGAUGGUGAACUUUCCUUCUUGGCAAUAUCUACUACCCCUCCUGGGUGGUAUUACAGGAGUUUACAGCAGUCUCCAACUUGGAAAUAGUAUCAGGAUGCUGCUCCAAGGAUCUUUCACGUCAAGGUCAGCCCACCCCCCAGUUGGGAACUGGUGGGAGCUACAGCCUGAAAGGACAGCGGAAGGAGGAGGGAAGACACACUAUAUUCAUCUACUCCGACAAGCAUCACGGGCAAAGCAAAAGCAAUGGAGAUGACUGGUCUGUGGGGACGGGGGGUGGCACUCUCACAGGGAUGGCCGUGGCAGACACUGCUGAAGCCCAGAGCCACUACAACACUGCGACUUCAUGGCACACACAGUUAGGGGCAGUGAGAAAGGUUUACUUAACUGUUCUAGGCUGUAGCAAGGAUGGUUUAUGUUUGUGCUUAAAGGUGAAGAGAAGAAAAGAAACAAGGAGAGAAACUUUAGGUCAGAUAUAGAAAAUGAGAAUGAGCUCAAUGCAGAUGGUCAGUAAGCUAGACAUGCCCUUGCCACUCUAGCUACACUUGGGAACGUGCAGCUGGCUUUGCUGGGCCACCCUGCUGCCCAGCAAACCCAGACUCGACCUUUCCAGUCUCCAUUUCUACUCCAGAGAGAAUGUGCAAAAAAUCAAUCCAACACCACCUGUAAGUCCAGCAUUUCACAAAUCUCAUUGCAAAUGCAUCUGGGGACCCAGGGAACCCCGCUCUGUAUUCUAAAGGGAUGAACGUGUAAAGGUCACAGGCCCUAAGAGGCUCUACAGCCAUGAGCCUAUUGUCCACCCUUCUACCCUCAUCUCCCUUGUAUCAAAAGCUAGUCCUAAUUCUUAAGGAAACAGCAAUACUGCUCUGAAAACAAGAAUCCUUAAGUACUUUUCCAGAGAAGAUGUAGUUUUCUUUGGAAGAAGAAACCACAGUGGCCCACACCAGACAGCUUUGGCCAUCUGGACCUUAAAAAGCUUGGGGCCUCUUUGUGCCACACUAGGGGGAUGGGGCAUCAGAAGGUGGCCACUAAACAAUUUCCAACAUAUAAAACCAUAGAGAAAUAAUUACAGAGCUCCCCCCUUACCCAAUGAGGCAACCUCCUCUGCUCUGGACUCUGCUGCCCCAAGGGAGAAGCAAACCAACCCCACAUGUCGUUCUAUAGAAUUAAAUGUAGGAAAUCCUGCCUCCCUCCCCCUCCCCGCCCCCAAUAGCUCCCAACCACAGAGCUUCCACGUGUUCCAGGUGGGGACACGUCCCAUCCCCACCUAGGGCAGGUAGGUAGCAAGAAGUUAGAGCCCACCCCCGUCCCACAGCCUUCCCAGACAAGGUCACAAAUGACCCACGUUUUAAAAGGGAAUCUGCUUCCUUCUCUCCAAAACCCUGGAUGUGCAAAAGGGCUAUCGGAGUUAAAGGGAGUCACGAUUCUGCAAGACAAAUCGAUGGGUCAUACCCCCAACCUUAUAACUCUUAGGCAAUCCCCAGAGUGCCAAUCUGAAAUAAUUCAGAAAGCAAAGCAACUUGUGACAUAACAGGAACAUUAACU